RNAcentral lists this ribosomal RNA (464 nucleotides) under uncultured Sphingobacteriales bacterium. Its description in RNAcentral is "bacterial SSU rRNA". It matches the Rfam family "Bacterial small subunit ribosomal RNA", at positions 916 to 1382 of the family's 1533-position model. Lineage: Bacteria; Pseudomonadati; Bacteroidota; Sphingobacteriia; Sphingobacteriales. The record is from RNAcentral.
GGGGCCCGCACAAGCGGAGGAACAUGUGGUUAAUUCGAUGAUACGCGAGGAACCUUACCUGGGCUUAAAUGUAGAGUGCAUUUUCUAGAGAUAGGAAUUCCCUUCGGGGCUUUCUGCAAGGUGCUGCAUGGUUGUCGUCAGCUCGUGCCGUGAGGUGUCGGGUUAAGUCCCAUAACGAGCGCAACCCUUAUCGUUAGUUGCCAUCUGGUAAAGCAGGGGACUCUAGCGAAACUGCCACCGUAAGGUGAGAGGAAGUGGGGAUGACGUCAAAUCAGCACGGCCCUUAUGUCCAGGGCUACACACGUGUUACAAUGGCCGGUACAGAGGGCAGCUACCUGGUGACAGGAUGCUAAUCUCGAAAACCGGUCUCAGUUCGGAUCGAAGUCUGCAACUCGACUUCGUGAAGCUGGAUUCGCUAGUAAUCGCGCAUCAGCCAUGGCGCGGUGAAUACGUUCCCGAGCCUU